AUCGCUUCUCGGCCUUAUGGCUAGGAUCAAGUGUCGUAUCUGUUCUUAUCAGCUUGCUAUCUGCUACGUUCUCUAUCUGAGGACAAUAUAUUGAGUGCAUUUUUGCGAGCAGGGGUUUUAGCUUGCUCUGUCCACUCCACACACCAACCUGGCAUCGCAGUACUUCCAGGAAUGGUGCAAUCCCU
Molecule: small nuclear RNA, 185 nt
Organism: Echinops telfairi (small Madagascar hedgehog)
Lineage: Eukaryota; Metazoa; Chordata; Mammalia; Afrosoricida; Tenrecidae
Product: U2 spliceosomal RNA
Exons: 1
Source: RefSeq, a predicted model, not a curated record